This 484-nucleotide ribosomal RNA is filed under the name uncultured bacterium. RNAcentral describes it as "partial 16S ribosomal RNA". It matches the Rfam family "Bacterial small subunit ribosomal RNA", at positions 30 to 507 of the family's 1533-position model. The record is from RNAcentral.
AUUGAACGCUGGCGGCAGGCCUAACACAUGCAAGUCGAGCGGACGAAGGGAGCUUGCUCCUGGAUUCAGCGGCGGACGGGUGAGUAAUGCCUAGGAAUCUGCCUGGUAGUGGGGGAUAACGUCCGGAAACGGGCGCUAAUACCGCAUACGUCCUGAUGGAGAAAGUGGGGGAUCUUCGGACCUCACGCUAUCAGAUGAGCCUAGGUCGGAUUAGCUAGUUGGUGGGGUAAAGGCCUACCAAGGCGACGAUCCGUAACUGGUCUGAGAGGAUGAUCAGUCACACUGGAACUGAGACACGGUCCAGACUCCUACGGGAGGCAGCAGUGGGGAAUAUUGGACAAUGGGCGAAAGCCUGAUCCAGCCAUGCCGCGUGUGUGAAGAAGGUCUUCGGAUUGUAAAGCUCUUUAAGUUGGGAGGAAGGGCAGUAAGUUAAUACCUUGCUGUUUUGACGUUACCAACAGAAUAAGCACCGGCUAACUUCGUG